AGUGAACGCUGGCGGUAGGCCUAACACAUGCAAGUCGAACGGCAGCACAGUAAGAGCUUGCUCUUACGGGUGGCGAGUGGCGGACGGGUGAGGAAUACAUCGGAAUCUACUUUUUCGUGGGGGAUAACGUAGGGAAACUUACGCUAAUACCGCAUACGACCUACGGGUGAAAGCAGGGGACCUUCGGACCUUGCGCGAUUGAAUGAGCCGAUGUCGGAUUGGCUAGUUGGCGGGGUAAAGGCCCACCAAGGCGACGAUCCGUAGCUGGUCUGAGAGGAUGAUCAGCCACACUGGAACUGAGACACGGUCCAGACUCCUACGGGAGGCAGCAGUGGGGAAUAUUGGACAAUGGGCGCAAGCCUGAUCCAGCCAUACCGCGUGGGUGAAGAAGGCCUUCGGGUUGUAAAGCCCUUUUGUUGGGAAAGAAAAGCAGCAGGUUAAUACCCCGCUGUUCUGACGGUACCCAAAGAAUAAGCACCGGCUAACUUCGUG
This 492-nucleotide ribosomal RNA is filed under the name uncultured bacterium. Its description in RNAcentral is "partial 16S ribosomal RNA". It matches the Rfam family "Bacterial small subunit ribosomal RNA", at positions 29 to 507 of the family's 1533-position model. The record is from RNAcentral.